This 524-nucleotide ribosomal RNA is filed under the name uncultured bacterium. Its description in RNAcentral is "bacterial SSU rRNA". It matches the Rfam family "Bacterial small subunit ribosomal RNA", at positions 9 to 515 of the family's 1533-position model. The record is from RNAcentral.
GAGUUUGAUCCUGGCUCAGGAUGAACGCUGGCGGCGUGCCUAAUACAUGCAAGUCGAGCGAACAGAUAAGGAGCUUGCUCCUUUGACGUUAGCGGCGGACGGGUGAGUAACACGUGGGUAACCUACCUAUAAGACUGGAAUAACUCCGGGAAACCGGGGCUAAUGCCGGAUAAUAUUUAGAACCGCAUGGUUCUAAAGUGAAAGAUGGUUUUACUAUCACUUAUAGAUGGACCCGCGCCGUAUUAGCUAGUUGGUGGGGUAAUGGCUUACCAAGGCAACGAUACGUAGCCGACCUGAGAGGGUGAUCGGCCACACUGGAACUGAGACACGGUCCAGACUCCUACGGGAGGCAGCAGUAGGGAAUCUUCCGCAAUGGGCGAAAGCCUGACGGAGCAACGCCGCGUGAGUGAUGAAGGUCUUCGGAUCGUAAAACUCUGUUAUUAGGGAAGAACAAAUGUGUAAGUAACUGUGCACGUCUUGACGGUACCUAAUCAGAAAGCCACGGCUAACUACGUGCCAGCAGC